This 17-nucleotide ribosomal RNA is filed under the name Phoma sp. Fanqin19. RNAcentral's name for it is "partial 28S ribosomal RNA". The record is from RNAcentral. Lineage: Eukaryota; Fungi; Ascomycota; Dothideomycetes; Pleosporales; Didymellaceae.
ACUUAAGCAUAUCAAAA